RNAcentral lists this ribosomal RNA (497 nucleotides) under uncultured bacterium. RNAcentral's name for it is "partial 16S ribosomal RNA". It matches the Rfam family "Bacterial small subunit ribosomal RNA", at positions 28 to 507 of the family's 1533-position model. The record is from RNAcentral.
GAUGAACGCUGGCGGUGUGCCUAAUACAUGCAAGUCGAGCGAACAGGCGAGGAGCUUACUCCUCUGACGUUAGCGGCGGACGGGUGAGUAACACGUGGAUAACCUACCUAUAAGACUGGGAUAACUUCGGGAAACCGGAGCUAAUACCGGAUAACAUGUUGAACCGCAUGGUUCAACAGUGAAAGACGGUCUUGCUGUCACUUAUAGAUGGAUCCGCGUCGCAUUAGCUAGUUGGUAAGGUAACGGCUUACCAAGGCAACGAUGCGUAGCCGACCUGAGAGGGUGAUCGGCCACACUGGAACUGAGACACGGUCCAGACUCCUACGGGAGGCAGCAGUAGGGAAUCUUCCGCAAUGGGCGAAAGCCUGACGGAGCAACGCCGCGUGAGUGAAGAAGGUCUUCGGAUCGUAAAACUCUGUUAUUAGGGAAGAACAAAUGUGUAAGUAACUAUGCACGUCUUGACGGUACCUAAUCAGAAAGCCACGGCUAACUACGUG